Molecule: long non-coding RNA, 550 nt
Filed under: Micromonas commoda
Lineage: Eukaryota; Viridiplantae; Chlorophyta; Mamiellophyceae; Mamiellales; Mamiellaceae
Description: long non-coding RNA (MCOM_LNC000375)
Source: RNAcentral
CAUCCUCUCUGGAGUCCAGAAAACCUGACAGGAUUGCUUACAGUACACGGGCUCGGAGUCCCAGCGGACCUUGAGGUGCGCGCCGCACACGGCGCCGGCCUCCUCUCCCACGGCGCGCGCGAUGGCGAAGAUUUUUUCCACGGUCUCGAUGUAGCCGCCGGGGGAUUUGUCGUUGUUGAGGAUCUUAUACGCGGCCUCGCACUCUGGGGUGGAGAGGGAUUCUGUCGCCGCGAGAACGUGUCCGAGAUCUGAGGCGACCUUGGUUCCGAGGUUGUGGCGCGAGAGCUUCAGCGCGAGGCCGUCGUGCGGGUUUGGGCGCGCGGCGGAGGCGAGCACGAUCGCGGAGAACAAGCAAGCGACGACAAGGAACGAGCGAGCCAUGGUGUCGUCCGCGGGGGCGUGCGUCGUCUAAGUGUUAACGUCAACUCGGAAUAAUUCUGACUCACCAUUUGCCAAGGGCCCGAUCUGCCCGAUGGCCGGACUGGGUAUGGGCAGUUGAAGUCUAUUUCGACUUAAAUGAGGCAUUAUCGAAGUUUUAUGUAACUAAAAG